GACGAACCGUGCAAACGUUAUUCGGAAUCACUGGGCUUAAAGGGCGCGUAGGCGGGCAACCAAGUCCGAGGUGAAAUCCUCCAGCUUAACUGGAGAAGUGCCCCGGAUACUGGUGGCCUCGAGGAGGGUAGGGGCAUCUGGAACUAGCGGUGGAGCGGUGAAAUGCGUUGAUAUCGCUAGGAACUCCGGUGGCGAAGGCGAGGUGCUGGACCAUUUCUGACGCUGAGGCGCGAAAGCCAGGGGAGCGAACGGG
Molecule: ribosomal RNA, 253 nt
Filed under: uncultured bacterium
Lineage: Bacteria
Description: partial 16S ribosomal RNA
Rfam family: Bacterial small subunit ribosomal RNA
Source: RNAcentral